UGGCUCACUUGGUAGAGCACUCCAUUGGAAAUGGAAAGAUUCCUGGUUCGAUACCAGG
This 58-nucleotide transfer RNA is filed under the name Ixodes scapularis (black-legged tick). It matches the Rfam family "tRNA", at positions 8 to 63 of the family's 71-position model. Rfam says of the family: Transfer RNA (tRNA) molecules are approximately 80 nucleotides in length. Lineage: Eukaryota; Metazoa; Arthropoda; Arachnida; Ixodida; Ixodidae. The record is from Rfam by way of RNAcentral.